UACGUAGGGUGCAAGCGUUGUCCGGAAUUAUUGGGCGUAAAGAGCUCGUAGGCGGUCUGUCGCGUCUGCUGUGAAAAUCCAGGGCUCAACCCUGGACCUGCAGUGGGUACGGGCAGACUAGAGUGCGGUAGGGGAGAUCGGAAUUCCUGGUGUAGUGGUGAAAUGCGCAGAUAUCAGGAGGAACACCGGUGGCGAAGGCGGAUCUCUGGGCCGUAACUGACGCUGAGGAGCGAAAGCAUGGGGAGCGAACAGG
Molecule: ribosomal RNA, 253 nt
Filed under: uncultured bacterium
Lineage: Bacteria
Description: partial 16S ribosomal RNA
Rfam family: Bacterial small subunit ribosomal RNA
Source: RNAcentral